UUCUUGGUCAUUUAGAGGAAGUAAAAGUCGUAACAAGGUUUCCGUAGGUGAACCUGCGGAAGGAUCAUUAAAGAAAUUUAAUAAUUUUGAAAAUGGAUUUUUUUUUUUUUUGUUUUGGCAAGAGCAUGAGAGCUCUUACUGGGCAAGAAGACAAGGGAUGGAGAGUCCAGCCGGGCCUGCGCUUAAGUGCGCGGUCUUGCUAGGCUUGUAAGUUUCUUUCUUGCUAUUCCAAACGGUGAGAGAUUUCUGUGCUUUUGUUAUAGGACAAUUAAAACCGUUUCAAUACAACACACUGUGGAGUUUUCAUAUCUUUGCAACUUUUUCUUUGGGCAUUCGAGCAAUCGGGGCCCAGAGGUUAACAAACACAAACAAUUUUAUCUAUUCAUUAAAUUUUUGUCAAAAACAAGAAUUUUCGUAACUGGAAAUUUUAAAAUAUUAAAAACUUUCAACAACGGAUCUCUUGGUUCUCGCAUCGAUGAAGAACGCAGCGAAAUGCGAUACGUAAUGUGAAUUGCAGAAUUCCGUGAAUCAUCGAAUCUUUGAACGCACAUUGCGCCCCUUGGUAUUCCAGGGGGCAUGCCUGUUUGAGCGUCAUUUCCUUCUCAAACAUUCUGUUUGGUAGUGAGUGAUACUCUUUGGAGUUAACUUGAAAUUGCUGGCCUUUUCAUUGGAUGUUUUUUUUUCCAAAGAGAGGUUUCUCUGCGUGCUUGAGGUAUAAUGCAAGUACGGUCGUUCUAGGUUUUACCAACUGCGGCUAAUCUUUUUUAUACUGAGCGUAUUGGAACGUUAUCGAUAAGAAGAGAGCGUCUAGGCGAACAAUGUUCUUAAAGUUUGACCUCAAAUCAGGGUAGGAGUACCCGCUGAACUUAAGCAUAUCAAUAAGCGGAGGAA
RNAcentral lists this ribosomal RNA (891 nucleotides) under uncultured fungus. RNAcentral's name for it is "eukaryotic LSU rRNA". The stretch from base 441 to 594 matches the Rfam family "5.8S ribosomal RNA". The record is from RNAcentral. Lineage: Eukaryota; Fungi.